GUUAUUCGGCGCAAGGAUGCGGCACCUAGUCUAAAAUAAAUUAAAACGACUCUCGGCAACGGAUAUCUCGGCUCUCGCAUCGAUGAAGAACGUAGCGAAAUGCGAUACUUGGUGUGAAUUGCAGAAUCCCGUGAACCAUCGAGUCUUUGAACGCAAGUUGCGCC
This 164-nucleotide ribosomal RNA is filed under the name Salsola tragus (prickly Russian thistle). Its description in RNAcentral is "5.8S ribosomal RNA". The stretch from base 48 to 164 matches the Rfam family "5.8S ribosomal RNA", at positions 1 to 117 of the family's 154-position model. Rfam says of the family: 5.8S ribosomal RNA (5.8S rRNA) is a component of the large subunit of the eukaryotic ribosome. It is transcribed by RNA polymerase I as part of the 45S precursor that also contains 18S and 28S rRNA. Functionally, it is thought that 5.8S rRNA may be involved in ribosome translocation. Lineage: Eukaryota; Viridiplantae; Streptophyta; Magnoliopsida; Caryophyllales; Amaranthaceae. The record is from RNAcentral.